RNAcentral lists this ribosomal RNA (791 nucleotides) under uncultured Inocybe. Its description in RNAcentral is "partial 28S ribosomal RNA". It matches the Rfam family "Eukaryotic large subunit ribosomal RNA", at positions 200 to 960 of the family's 3401-position model. The record is from RNAcentral. Lineage: Eukaryota; Fungi; Basidiomycota; Agaricomycetes; Agaricales; Cortinariaceae.
GCAUCGCAGAGGGUGAGAAUCCCGUCUUUGACAUGGACUGCCAGGGCUCAACAGGUGUGCUCUCGAAGAGUCGAGUUGUUUGGGAAUGCAGCUCAAAAUGGGUGGUAAAUGCCAUCUAAAGCUAAAUAUUGGCGAGAGACCGAUAGCGAACAAGUACCGUGAGGGAAAGAUGAAAAGAACUUUGGAAAGAGAGUUAAACAGUACGUGAAAUUGCUGAAAGGGAAACGCUUGAAGUCAGUCGCGUCAGCUGGAAAUCAACCCUGCUUUUGCUGGGCGCACUUUCCUGUCUGACGGGUCAGCAUCAGUUCUGGUCGCUGGAUAAAGUCCUUGGGAACGUGGCAUCCUUUGGAUGUGUUAUAGCCCACUGGCGCAUGCAGCGGCUGGGAUUGAGGAACUCAGCACGGCCCUUGCGAGAGGGCGAUUGGAGGGAGACCUCACAACUUACGUGCUUAGGAUGCUGGCAUAAUGGCUUUAAUCGACCCGUCUUGAAACACGGACCAAGGAGUCUAACAUGCCUGCGAGUGUUUGGGUGGUGAAAACUCAUGCGCGCAAUGAAAGUGAUGGUUGAGAUCCCUGUCAUGGGGAGCAUCGACGCCCAGACCAGACCUUUUGCGACGGAUCUGCGGUAGAGCAUGCAUGUUGGGACCCGAAAGAUGGUGAACUAUGCCUGAAUAGGGUGAAGCCAGAGGAAACUCUGGUGGAGGCUCGUAGCGAUUCUGACGUGCAAAUCGAUCGUCAAAUUUGGGUAUAGGGGCGAAAGACUAAUCGAACCAUCUAGUAGCUGGUUCCUG